ACCCUCGUAGCUCAGUUGGAUAGAGCAACAGACUUCUAAUCUGUAGGUCAUUGGUUCGAAUCCAAUCGAGGGUG
Molecule: transfer RNA, 74 nt
Filed under: Candidatus Poribacteria bacterium
Lineage: Bacteria; Candidatus Poribacteria
Description: tRNA-Arg
Rfam family: tRNA
About the family: Transfer RNA (tRNA) molecules are approximately 80 nucleotides in length. Their secondary structure includes four short double-helical elements and three loops (D, anti-codon, and T loops). Further hydrogen bonds mediate the characteristic L-shaped molecular structure. tRNAs have two regions of fundamental functional importance: the anti-codon, which is responsible for specific mRNA codon recognition, and the 3' end, to which the tRNAs corresponding amino acid is attached (by aminoacyl-tRNA synthetases). tRNAs cope with the degeneracy of the genetic code in two manners: having more than one tRNA (with a specific anti-codon) for a particular amino acid; and 'wobble' base-pairing, i.e. permitting non-standard base-pairing at the 3rd anti-codon position.
Source: RNAcentral